AUAUUUUGACUUAAAAAUAAAUAUGAUUCAUGCUAUAAUAUAACUCAAACACACAAGUAACGUUAAAAACAUACUUUAUUAUUAACUAAAUUAGUCAGAAUCUGGAUUCGCGCCAAAUUAUCCUUGAGAUAAAUAGUGCUCUCACCGUUCAGGUCCUUAACAAAGUUCUUAACAAUAAAGUGAUCUCGGUCAACGCGAACUCCAAUCUUAUCCUAUCUAUCAAGGUUUGGCUCAUGAAAUAU
RNAcentral lists this long non-coding RNA (242 nucleotides) under Carica papaya (papaya). Its description in RNAcentral is "long non-coding RNA (CPAP_LNC001486)". The record is from RNAcentral. Lineage: Eukaryota; Viridiplantae; Streptophyta; Magnoliopsida; Brassicales; Caricaceae.